Molecule: transfer RNA, 66 nt
Filed under: Aplanochytrium sp. PBS07
Lineage: Eukaryota; Bigyra; Thraustochytrida; Thraustochytriidae
Rfam family: tRNA
About the family: Transfer RNA (tRNA) molecules are approximately 80 nucleotides in length.
Source: RNAcentral
GCGUGGCGCAGUUGGUUAACGCGUGACGUUUACACCGUCAAGAUCGCUGGUUCGAAUCCGGCCGUG